This is a long non-coding RNA of Ornithodoros turicata, 419 nucleotides long. RefSeq lists it as uncharacterized. Lineage: Eukaryota; Metazoa; Arthropoda; Arachnida; Ixodida; Argasidae. The record is from RefSeq and is a predicted model, not a curated record. The transcript has 3 exons.
UGUCCCAGAAAACGUGUCAUUGAAUUAAAAUUUAAAAAACUACAACACCUAGAAUCAUGCGGUCAACCGUAUUUGUUCUUACUGGGUUUUUGCCACCUCCUGAUGUGAAUGUCACGUUACCGGGCCAAAUUUACUCGAAUUCAUUGUAACGGGCAGGGAUAUUGAGGAGCUAUCCCGUCGAAAACACACAAAACUUACAUCAGCUCUUGAGGGAGACUACGGAAUAUGAACAAGCGAACGAAGAGAGAGAGAGAAAACUUGGAAUUUGCAGCAACUGCAGAUUGGCAAUCUGAAGAGAAGAAAUCCAAUAGCACACAAUGCCCAGAAGGAACUUUACUCCCCAUCGUUUCUCUGGUGCUGAAGAGAAACAGAAAGUCCACGUCGGAUUUACCCCAUUGCCUUGCAGAAUAUAACAAUGC